CAGUAGCCGCGGUAAAACAGAGGGUGCAAGCGUUAAUCGGAAUUACUGGGCGUAAAGCGCGCGUAGGUGGUUUGUUAAGUUGGAUGUGAAAUCCCCGGGCUCAACCUGGGAACUGCAUCCAAAACUGGCAAGCUAGAGUAUGGUAGAGGGUGGUGGAAUUUCCUGUGUAGCGGUGAAAUGCGUAGAUAUAGGAAGGAACACCAGUGGCGAAGGCGACCACCUGGACUGAUACUGACACUGAGGUGCGAAAGCGUGGGGAGCAAACAGGAUUAGAUACCCCUGUAGUCCCUGUCUCUUAUAC
RNAcentral lists this ribosomal RNA (301 nucleotides) under uncultured bacterium. Its description in RNAcentral is "partial 16S ribosomal RNA". It matches the Rfam family "Bacterial small subunit ribosomal RNA", at positions 509 to 807 of the family's 1533-position model. The record is from RNAcentral.